RNAcentral lists this ribosomal RNA (1341 nucleotides) under uncultured bacterium. RNAcentral describes it as "partial 16S ribosomal RNA". It matches the Rfam family "Bacterial small subunit ribosomal RNA", at positions 28 to 1381 of the family's 1533-position model. The record is from RNAcentral.
GACGAACGCUGGCGGCGUGCUUAGCACAUGCAAGUCGAACGGUAAGGCUCCAGCUUGCUGGGGUACACGAGUGGCGAACGGGUGAGUAACACGUGGGUGACCUGCCCUGCACUUCGGGAUAAGCCUGGGAAACUGGGUCUAAUACCGGAUAGGACCGCACCGUGAGGGUGUGGUGGAAAGUUUUUUCGGUGUGGGAUGGGCCCGCGGCCUAUCAGCUUGUUGGUGGGGUAAUGGCCUACCAAGGCGGCGACGGGUAGCCGGCCUGAGAGGGUGGACGGCCACAUUGGGACUGAGACACGGCCCAGACUCCUACGGGAGGCAGCAGUGGGGAAUAUUGCACAAUGGGCGGAAGCCUGAUGCAGCGACGCCGCGUGGGGGAUGACGGCCUUCGGGUUGUAAACUCCUUUCACCAUCGACGAAGGGUUUCUGACGGUAGAUGGAGAAGAAGCACCGGCUAACUACGUGCCAGCAGCCGCGGUAAUACGUAGGGUGCGAGCGUUGUCCGGAAUUACUGGGCGUAAAGAGCUCGUAGGUGGUUUGUCGCGUCGUCUGUGAAAUUCCGGGGCUUAACUCCGGGCGUGCAGGCGAUACGGGCAUAACUUGAGUACUGUAGGGGAGACUGGAAUUCCUGGUGUAGCGGUGAAAUGCGCAGAUAUCAGGAGGAACACCGGUGGCGAAGGCGGGUCUCUGGGCAGUAACUGACGCUGAGGAGCGAAAGCAUGGGGAGCGAACAGGAUUAGAUACCCUGGUAGUCCAUGCCGUAAACGGUGGGCGCUAGGUGUGGGUUUCCUUCCACGGGAUCCGUGCCGUAGCUAACGCAUUAAGCGCCCCGCCUGGGGAGUACGGCCGCAAGGCUAAAACUCAAAGGAAUUGACGGGGGCCCGCACAAGCGGCGGAGCAUGUGGAUUAAUUCGAUGCAACGCGAAGAACCUUACCUGGGCUUGACAUAUACAGGAUCGCGCCAGAGAUGGUGUUUCCCUUGUGGCUUGUAUACAGGUGGUGCAUGGUUGUCGUCAGCUCGUGUCGUGAGAUGUUGGGUUAAGUCACGCAACGAGCGCAACCCUUGUCUUAUGUUGCCAGCACGUUGUGGUGGGGACUCGUAAGAAACUGCCGGGGUUAACUCGGAGGAAGGUGGGGAUGACGUCAAAUCAUCAUGCCCCUUAUGUCCAGGGCUUCACACAUGCUACAAUGGUCGGUACAGUGGGUUGCCAGUCCGUGAGGGCGAGCUAAUCCCGCAAAGCCGGUCUCAGUUCGGAUCGGGGUCUGCAACUCGACCCCGUGAAGUCGGAGUCGCUAGUAAUCGCAGAUCAGCAACGCUGCGGUGAAUACGUUCCCGGGCCU